RNAcentral lists this transfer RNA (72 nucleotides) under Camelus bactrianus (Bactrian camel). It matches the Rfam family "tRNA". From Rfam's summary of the family: Transfer RNA (tRNA) molecules are approximately 80 nucleotides in length. Their secondary structure includes four short double-helical elements and three loops (D, anti-codon, and T loops). RNAcentral also lists the same sequence under 2 other names. The record is from Rfam by way of RNAcentral. Lineage: Eukaryota; Metazoa; Chordata; Mammalia; Artiodactyla; Camelidae.
AAGGUUAUAGCUCAGUAGUAGAGUGCCUACUUAGCAUGCAUGAGGUCCUGGGUUCAAUCCCCAGUACCUCCA